CCUACGGGAGGCAGCAGUGGGGGAUAUUGCACAAUGGGGGGAACCCUGAUGCAGCGACGCCGCGUGGGUGAAGGAGCGUUUCGGCGCGUAAAGCCCUAUCGGCAGGGAAGAAGAUGACGGUACCUGACCAAGAAGCCCCGGCUAACUACGUGCCAGCAGCCGCGGUAAUACGUAGGGGGCAAGCGUUAUCCGGAUUUAUUGGGUGUAAAGGGUGUGUAGACGGGAAAACAAGUUAGUUGUGAAAUCCCUCAGCUUAACUGAGGAACUGCAACUAAAACUAUUUUUCUUGAGUGCUGGAGAGGAAAGUGGAAUUCCUAGUGUAGCGGUGAAAUGCGUAGAUAUUAGGAGGAACACCAGUGGCGAAGGCGACUUUCUGGACAGUAACUGACGUUGAGGCACGAAAGUGUGGGGAGCAAACAGGAUUAGAUACCCUGGUAGUC
Molecule: ribosomal RNA, 440 nt
Filed under: uncultured bacterium
Lineage: Bacteria
Description: partial 16S ribosomal RNA
Rfam family: Bacterial small subunit ribosomal RNA
Source: RNAcentral